UGGAGGCUUCAAUUGAUGAUGUCAAAUGAAGUGAAGGAUAAACAGAAAUAAGUAUUUGCAGGACUUAUUUAAUAUUGACACAUUGGUGGAACAGAACAGUUUAGUCCUCCAGAGUCAUGUUUUGUUGCAGUGUAGACAAGAGUUAGACCUACAAAGCAUACCUUCUACAACAUUGGGUCUCAAAUGUUGGUCAUCCAGGUGUUUUGGACUUCAGCUCCCAGAAGCCCCAGCUUGACCAAUGGUCAGGGAUUCUAGGAGAGGAAGUCCAAAAUAUUGUGGCCAAACCAAUGACUGAGAACCACUGUACUACAGAAUUGUCAUCUGUGUCAUUAUAAACCAUGUCCCCAAAACUAAGUCAUUUGCUAAGUACAGGUUUUGUUUUUCCUACAAACCAAAGAUUCCUGAGACAAAGAAUGCAUUAAAAAAUCUGUUGGGUUCCCUGCUGCCCAUAGUGACACUAUUUUGUUCCUUACUGGGACAAAACAUGUCUCAUGCUAUUUCUCAGCAAACUGUGAUGCAGCAGAGCACAAGUUACACACUCUGGUUGUCAGCAGGUUAUCGGUAUGUAGAUUUGGGAAAAAUCACAAUUCUUUCCUUGAUGUGGACACAAUGGAAUCCACUGGAUUUCAGAAAUACCUCAUAAUAUCAAAGUAUAUGCUUUGCUUUUUAGAAUCUGGUUUUAUUUUGUUUUUAUUCCCCUCUGUACCUUAUGGCUCAGGAAGUUUGGGGGCACACACUUGACUCUGCACAUGCAAAAUUUACACCGAGGAUUUACAUCAGAGUUGUACAAAAUGUAUCCUAAGAGAAGGCACAUGACAUGGUUCUGAAGGCAUGGGCUGGGUAAAUAAUAGCUUUGUUUCCGAUGUCAGGGUCUUUCAUCUCACAUUCCAGAGGGGAAAGGCAAUUGUCCUUGUGCUUUGGCGGCGGUCAUUGUCAUCACUACCAUCACCACAAAUGCUAUGGCUUAUUGGAAUGUCAACAAAUAAACUCAAGCAGCACUGAAGUCCUAAAAUAAAGAGAAAAUGUGUUCCAGAUGUGAUGUGGAGCAGCAGGGACAUGUGCAUCAGGAAAUGAAGGAUCUCCUGCUUUCUACUGCUCUGGAUUUGCCAGUUUCAAUAUGGAGAAUUUGAUGGGCAACCAUGAGGACAAGUUAGCACUCUGGCAGCUUACACUUGACUUUAGUUGAGUCUUUUGCUUAAAAGUGAAGCAAAAGAAACAAGAGACAUACCACCCAAUAUUUUACAGAUGAAGACCAGGACACAUGUGACCAUGCAACAUCCAUGUUUGGUCAAGGUGGGAAACGUUAUCAAUGAGGAGAAACAGACAAACUAGGAGAGGCCACAGCAGUUUCCUCUCCCUCUGCUGAGUUAGAUGAGUGCAAACUACUUUCCCACUUUGAACUCAGUUUGCAGAAAUUGAAAUAAGCCAAUGACAAAGGAGGAAAGUGGGAGGAGGAGAGGGAAAUAGGGACAUUUUAAAAGCAACUGAAAAAGUAGAACAGCAGAGGAUUAUUUAGGACUAUCCUUGCCAAAUCAAGACAACUGGAGGGUAAAAGUAGAUGUGGCAAGGAUAUAACGGACUUUCCCUGUUUCCUGAUUGAAGAGGCUUUGCAGCUUCUCCUGCUUGGAGCUGCUAUUUGUCUCUCCCCUCCCCAAUGCUAUUUGCAUUUGAAUAGUUAAGGAUUAGUUAUCAAUUGUUCCCAGGUGCCUGUGAUCUUUCUUCAGCUAAGUCGGCCUCCACCAGGGGCCUGCUUCUUUCACAAUCUUUUCUUAAUUAAUUGUUCUGUAUUGUCCAAGUGUGUCAGGCUUCCCAAAUCCUGCAUGUUACACUUCAUUCAUGGCACAUACAGGCUCCUCCCACCAUUAAUAACUGGUAUGCACUUUAAAACUGAACGUAGAUCUCUAGUAUAAAUGUUACUGCUGGAAUCCUUUUAAAAAUACAAAUAGAGAAGAAAUGGCAGGAUUUCAAGAAUGAGGCACGCAGGUUCAAGCAGAACCAGGAUAAAAAGUGUUGUGAACAUACAGGCAGGAUAUGACAAUAGAGAUGGUAAUUAUGUUUGGAUGUAUUCAGUUUUCAUUUUUAAAAUGUAUAACAAAUUCAAGAUAUACAUAGAGAUGUAAAGGCCCAGAGUGGGGGGAAAGAGAGAAAAAAAUAAGAAUAAAUAGAUCCCCCCCCCAUUUUUUAAACAAGAAAAUGGGAGAAUGGAUUAUGGAAUGUUAUCUUUUAAAAUAGUGAAUAAUUUUUUAAAAAGAUGAUGCUCACAUAUUUUCUGAUCCCAGAUGAUUUCUAAAAACUGGUGUAUAUUAUCACUUCAUUAUAGUUCUUGGACUUGGUUUCCUUUCCUUAUUUCUUCUUAUGGGAAUGAGUGUGUGAUAGACACUAUGGAGAACUAGUAGAGGCAACGUAAUUCCCCGUUUUAUUAAUAUUGAUGGUUCCUUCUGUUUUAUUGUCUUUCUUUCUUUCUUUCUUUCUUUCUUUCUUUCUUUCUUUUUGUCUGCUUGUUAAAUUGGCAAAACCAAAGAGGCUUCUUGUAUUUCAGCUGUUUGAUACAGUUCAGAAUGCUAUAGCUCCAUUUAUAACAAUAAAACCCUCCCAAAUAAAGCAAAACUAAAUUCAGUCUGCAAUUGUAUUCUGAACAAGCUGUAGUUUCAAUAUAUUGGACAUGGUAAUUUCAUGAUAAAUCAGGUUAUAUAAU
Sceloporus undulatus (fence lizard) is the source of this 2695-nucleotide long non-coding RNA. RefSeq lists it as uncharacterized. The transcript is spliced from 3 exons. NCBI's taxonomy places the organism in Eukaryota, Metazoa, Chordata, Lepidosauria, Squamata, Phrynosomatidae. The record is from RefSeq and is a predicted model, not a curated record.